RNAcentral lists this ribosomal RNA (559 nucleotides) under uncultured bacterium. Its description in RNAcentral is "bacterial SSU rRNA". It matches the Rfam family "Bacterial small subunit ribosomal RNA", at positions 340 to 916 of the family's 1533-position model. The record is from RNAcentral.
UACGGGAGGCAGCAGCGGGGAAUAUUGCACAAUGGGCGAAAGCCUGAUGCAGCAACGCCGCGUGAGCGAUGAAGGCCUUUGGGUCGUAAAGCUCUGUCCUUGGGGAAGAAUAAAUGACGGUACCCUUGGAGGAAGCCCCGGCUAACUACGUGCCAGCAGCCGCGGUAAUACGUGGGGGGCAAGCGUUAUCCGGAAUUAUUGGGCGUAAAGAGUGCGUAGGUGGUUUUGUAAGCGCGGGGUGAAAGGCAAUGGCUCAACCAUUGUAAGCCUUGCGAACUGUAAGACUUGAGUGCAGGAGAGGAAAGCGGAAUUCCUAGUGUAGCGGUGAAAUGCGUAGAUAUUAGGAGGAACACCAGUGGCGAAGGCGGCUUUCUGGACUGUAACUGACACUGAGGCACGAAAGCGUGGGGAGCAAACAGGAUUAGAUACCCUGGUAGUCCACGCCGUAAACGAUGAGCACUAGGUGUCGGGGCCGCAAGGUUUCGGUGCCGCAGUUAACGCAUUAAGUGCUCCGCCUGGGGAGUACGCACGCAAGUGUGAAACUCAAAGGAAUUGACGG